AUACAGAGGGUGCGAGCGUUAAUCGGAAUUACAGGGCGUAAAGCGCGCGUAGGCGGUCUAUUAAGUCAGAUGUGAAAUCCCAGGGCUCAACCUUGGAACUGCAUCUGAUACUGGUAGACUAGAGUUUUGGAGAGGGAAGUAGAAUUUCAGGUGUAGCGGUGAAAUGCAUAGAGAUCUGAAGGAAUACCAGUGGCGAAGGCGACUUCCUGGACAAAAACUGACGCUGAGGUGCGAAAGCGUGGGUAGCAAACGGGAUUAGAAACCCUAGUAGUCC
RNAcentral lists this ribosomal RNA (274 nucleotides) under uncultured bacterium. Its description in RNAcentral is "partial 16S ribosomal RNA". It matches the Rfam family "Bacterial small subunit ribosomal RNA", at positions 523 to 796 of the family's 1533-position model. The record is from RNAcentral.